CGUACGCUCCUUUUUCCACCGGAAGCUUGCUCCACCAGGAAAAAGAGGAGUGGCGAACGGGUGAGUAACACGUGGGUAACCUGCCCAUCAGAAGGGGAUAACACUUGGAAACAGGUGCUAAUACCGUAUAACAAUCGAAACCGCAUGGUUUUGAUUUGAAAGGCGCUUUCGGGUGUCGCUGAUGGAUGGACCCGCGGUGCAUUAGCUAGUUGGUGAGGUAACGGCUCACCAAGGCCACGAUGCAUAGCCGACCUGAGAGGGUGAUCGGCCACAUUGGGACUGAGACACGGCCCAAACUCCUACGGGAGGCAGCAGUAGGGAAUCUUCGGCAAUGGACGAAAGUCUGACCGAGCAACGCCGCGUGAGUGAAGAAGGUUUUCGGAUCGUAAAACUCUGUUGUUAGAGAAGAACAAGGAUGAGAGUAACUGUUCAUCCCUUGACGGUAUCUAACCAGAAAGCCACGGCUAACUACGUGCCAGCAGCCGCGGUAAUACGUAGGUGGCAAGCGUUGUCCGGAUUUAUUGGGCGUAAAGCGAGCGCAGGCGGUUUCUUAAGUCUGAUGUGAAAGCCCCCGGCUCAACCGGGGAGGGUCAUUGGAAACUGGGAGACUUGAGUGCAGAAGAGGAGAGUGGAAUUCCAUGUGUAGCGGUGAAAUGCGUAGAUAUAUGGAGGAACACCAGU
Molecule: ribosomal RNA, 681 nt
Filed under: uncultured Bacilli bacterium
Lineage: Bacteria; Bacillati; Bacillota; Bacilli
Description: bacterial SSU rRNA
Rfam family: Bacterial small subunit ribosomal RNA
Source: RNAcentral